UACGUAGGGCGCGAGCGUUGUCCGGAAUCAUUGGGCGUAAAGCGCGUGUAGGCGGUCCGGUAAGUCCGCUGUGAAAGUCGAGGGCUCAACCCUCGAAUGCCGGUGGAUACUGUCGGGCUUGAGUACGGGAGAGGCGAGUGGAAUUCCUGGUGUAGCGGUGAAAUGCGCAGAUAUCAGGAGGAACACCGAUUGCGAAGGCAGCUCGCUGGAACGUUACUGACGCUGAGACGCGAAAGCGUGGGGAGCAAACAGG
Molecule: ribosomal RNA, 253 nt
Filed under: uncultured bacterium
Lineage: Bacteria
Description: partial 16S ribosomal RNA
Rfam family: Bacterial small subunit ribosomal RNA
Source: RNAcentral